UACGUAGGUGGCAAGCGUUGUCCGGAUUUAUUGGGUUUAAAGGGUGCGUAGGCGGCCCUGUAAGUCAGUGCUGAAAUAUCCCGGCUUAACCGGGAGGGUGGCAUUGAUACUGCGGGGCUAGAGUACAGAUGAGGUAGGCGGAAUUGACGGUGUAGCGGUGAAAUGCUUAGAUAUCGUCAAGAACACCUAUAGCGAAGGCAGCUUACUAGGCUGUAACUGACGCUGAGGCACGAAAGCCAGGGUAGCGAACCGG
This 253-nucleotide ribosomal RNA is filed under the name uncultured bacterium. Its description in RNAcentral is "partial 16S ribosomal RNA". It matches the Rfam family "Bacterial small subunit ribosomal RNA", at positions 524 to 776 of the family's 1533-position model. The record is from RNAcentral.